CAAACUAUGUGUGACUGGCGGAGCAUGGGCAACCAUGGGGGAGCACAUAGAAGCAUUUUCGCCGUACGCCUGGGCAAAGGUA
This 82-nucleotide non-coding RNA is filed under the name Paenibacillus sp. Its description in RNAcentral is "ZTP sequence". It matches the Rfam family "ZMP/ZTP riboswitch aptamer (pfl RNA motif)". From Rfam's summary of the family: Previously known as pfl RNA. ZMP is also known as AICAR. RNAcentral also lists the same sequence under 1 other name. The record is from RNAcentral. Lineage: Bacteria; Bacillati; Bacillota; Bacilli; Caryophanales; Paenibacillaceae.